GUAUACAUUAGUUAACACUGUAGAUCAUUAACAAAUGCUGUCGGUGUAAAUAAUGGGACAGGUAAAUGAAAUUGGUGCCAAGUUUAUGUCCGUAAAAUCGCAUUCUGUCUUUAGAUAGUGAUUGCCGGGUUGGCCGACCUUACACGUGUUCGUUUAUUGAAUCAAUGAAACAAUGAAUCAAGCUUUUAUUCACUUUACAGGCUAAAACAAUCUUACACCUAACCUAACCUAACAUAUUUUCUAAUGCCACCUGAAUAUGUUUGCACUCCUCAUGGUUAAGAUCAUGUCAAUGAUAUAACAUAUAACGUGUUUUAAAUGACAAUCUCCACCAAGUGAAAUCUGUCUUUUUAUUGUGAAAACCAGUGACCACAAUUGAGUUAACCCUCUUUGGAUGUGUUGAUAAUAAAAUACAAAACUAUAACUGAAUUAAAGCAGC
RNAcentral lists this long non-coding RNA (436 nucleotides) under Mytilus galloprovincialis (Mediterranean mussel). Lineage: Eukaryota; Metazoa; Mollusca; Bivalvia; Mytilida; Mytilidae. The record is from RNAcentral.